This 267-nucleotide ribosomal RNA is filed under the name Theileria velifera. RNAcentral's name for it is "partial 18S ribosomal RNA". It matches the Rfam family "Eukaryotic small subunit ribosomal RNA", at positions 619 to 921 of the family's 1831-position model. The record is from RNAcentral. Lineage: Eukaryota; Apicomplexa; Aconoidasida; Piroplasmida; Theileriidae.
UUAAAAAGCUCGUAGUUGAAUUUCUGCUACAUUGCCUAUUCUCCUUUACGAGUUUGGGUCUUUUGUGGCUUAUCUGGGUUCGCUUGCGUUCCCGGUGUUUUACUUUGAGAAAAUUAGAGUGCUCAAAGCAGGCUUUUGCCUUGAAUAGUUUAGCAUGGAAUAAUAAAGUAGGACUUUGGUUCUAUUUUGUUGGUUUUAGGUACCAAAGUAAUGGUUAAUAGGAACAGUUGGGGGCAUUCGUAUUUAACUGUCAGAGGUGAAAUUCUU